CCUGGGCCCAGAGUCAUGACCAAUACUGGUGAGUCAUACUCCCCAUACAGAGCUCCCUACACACUGGCUGUCAGAAAAAAAAAAAAAAAAAAAAAAAGCAAAACAGAAGUUGCCAUCUCGUCCUGUGCUCCAGCUGUCUCAUUUUACCUUCUGAAAUGAUGGAGGAAGUUCUGCUGAGGAUGGGGUCAGGGUAACAGCAGACUUCUGAAUAACUCUGCACCCCCAGAAACCUGCAAAGGACACAGGCCCUCUUGGUGGUCUCCUCCUGGAUACCUUGCUUUCUCCUGGAAGAGCCCUCCCUUCCACCCCGGAUAUCACUGUGAACCUGAUUCCCCAGGAUCAACCAUCUGAGCAGAUACCUUAGAAUGUCCCCAGAUUUCAGAGAUAUCUGCCUGGACCUGUACAGCUCGAGCCGCUGGAUUUAUCCUGUUUUAACAAACGCAUCGUGCUUGCCAUGUGCAACAAAAAUACACCAAUUUAAUGUUCAACAAUCCUUUGAGAAUUCCAAAGAAGAUAGAAACGGGGUUAGGAAGGGAAUUUUUGCCCUCCUGGUUCUUGUCAUCCUUCUCCACUUCAAGAUGAAAUUCCUGAAAUUCCUACAGUUAUCUUGUUAUCAACCUAAGGAUGAAUGUAACACCUACAGGAGGGUGGAACUGAGUAUUCUCCCCUGGAGCCUGAGAUAUCUCUGGACUUCCUAG
Molecule: long non-coding RNA, 698 nt
Filed under: Macaca nemestrina (pig-tailed macaque)
Lineage: Eukaryota; Metazoa; Chordata; Mammalia; Primates; Cercopithecidae
Description: lncRNA (ENSMNEG00000045994.1)
Source: RNAcentral